RNAcentral lists this long non-coding RNA (1259 nucleotides) under Felis catus (domestic cat). RNAcentral describes it as "lncRNA (ENSFCAG00000041004.2)". The record is from RNAcentral. Lineage: Eukaryota; Metazoa; Chordata; Mammalia; Carnivora; Felidae.
GGGAAACCCAGUUGUAUUCUUUUAAUGUACUUUAAAAAUUGAUGUAUACUAGAUGGUUCUUUAUGCAAAGACAGUUUAAAUCCCAUUCUUCCAUAAAACAUGUGUGUGACUUAUGUCAUAUGAAGAGUCACUUUGCAGAGCCCUACAGGUGCACACCAUCAGCAUUCUGCUUGCUGAAGUGACCGAGGCUGAAUUACAGUCAUCUGCCUGUUGGUCAUUGACAUGGCGAUCUCCUCAGUGAGUUCUGACGAUCACCGGAAACUGCUGGGUCUGUGAGAAAGAAUUAUCUUGGGGAGGAGAGAGAAGACCCAUCUUUGAAGAGAUGGAAAAGAUGAGGAACCCGAGGUUCCGAAGAACGUGGCGGUGACCAGAUCUUGUUCUGGACAGAAAGUUGGUCGUGUGGUCCAUGGCGGGGUCAGCUUGGGGCAAAGUCUGGAUGCCAAUUCCCAUGGCUGCGAUGACGGCCAACAUCCUGUUCAGACUCCAGCCAGCCACCCAGGAAGGAAGCAUCCUGUUCCUUUUAAACAGAGGGCCCGGCCGGCCACAUGGCCACGCUGUUGACAAGCUCUCAUUUGCGACAAAGGCCAAAUUCCAAGGAGAAGCAAGCGAGGAAAGAAAACAGUUAAAUUUCUUGGACAAUAUGACUGUUCCUGUAUUUGCCCAUCGGCUUGAUGUGUUUCAAACCUGUGAUAUCUGAGAUCUUUGUUUCCUUCUUUUGUAUUCUCCAUCACAUGGAGCUAGCCUGCAAGCACUUCUGAGAUGCCCACUGUGUAUACCCUUCACCGUGCCCUUCCACGCCCGACGUCCUGCCCAUUCUCAUUUGACCAACGGUCAGCACUGCUCGCCACAAUCCUGUCAAAGCAGACAAAUUAAACAUGCCAGGUGACAUAUGGAAGAAAAGACUUUCUGAUUUACUAUGGAACUGUUUAUGGAUAAGAGUUAUUUCUCUUGGCCUGGUACCUGCUCUCAAGGCUUGAUCACAUUUCAAGGCACUGCUGCCAUUUACUCGAAUUAUUCCGGGUCCUCAGAUGUUUGUGUGCACAUGGCUGUCUGGGUGCGUGCGCAUCUGAACAUGGUCCAAAUCCUGCAGCGAGGUUGUUGAUUGCAAAGUGCAAAUGAAGGGAAAUUUAAGUCUUCCUCCAGUCCUCACUUCCCCCACGUGGUGGUUUUAAGCAUCAGGAGGGCUACCUCGGUAGGGAAAAGGACUUAGGGUCACAUCUCAAUGAAAAAAUAAAUAAAUCUUUAGUUUAGCGUGGACA